GCAAGUCGAGGGGUAACAGAGGUAGCUUGCUAUUUGCUGACGACCGGCGCACGGGUGAGUAACGCGUAUACAAUUUGCCUUAUACUGGAGAAUAACCGAGAGAAAUUUCGACUAAUACUCCAUGGUAUUAUAGAUUGGCAUCAAUUUAUAAUUAAAGAUUUAUUGGUAUAAGAUGAGUAUGCGUCCUAUUAGUUAGAUGGUAAGGUAAUGGCUUACCAUGACUAUGAUAGGUAGCCGGCCUGAGAGGGUGAUC
This 253-nucleotide ribosomal RNA is filed under the name uncultured bacterium. RNAcentral describes it as "partial 16S ribosomal RNA". It matches the Rfam family "Bacterial small subunit ribosomal RNA", at positions 57 to 305 of the family's 1533-position model. The record is from RNAcentral.